This 470-nucleotide ribosomal RNA is filed under the name uncultured bacterium. Its description in RNAcentral is "partial 16S ribosomal RNA". It matches the Rfam family "Bacterial small subunit ribosomal RNA", at positions 328 to 794 of the family's 1533-position model. The record is from RNAcentral.
UGCCCAGACUCCUACGGGAGGCAGCAGUGAGGAAUAUUGGUCAAUGGGCGGAAGCCUGAACCAGCCAAGUCGCGUGAGGGAAUAAGGCCCUACGGGUCGUAAACCUCUUUUGCCGGGGAGCAAGGGCGGGGACGUGUCCCGGCCCGGAGAGUACCCGGAGAAAAAGCAUCGGCUAACUCCGUGCCAGCAGCCGCGGUAAUACGGAGGAUGCGAGCGUUAUCCGGAUUUACUGGGUGUAAAGGGAGCGCAGGCGGCACGGCAAGCCUGAUGUGAAAGCCCGCGGCCCAACCGCGGGACUGCAUUGGGAACUACCGGGCUGGAGUGCCGGAGAGGUAGGCGGAAUUCCUAGUGUAGCGGUGAAAUGCGUAGAUAUUAGGAGGAACACCAGUGGCGAAGGCGGCCUACUGGACGGUGACUGACGCUGAGGCUCGAAAGCGUGGGGAGCAAACAGGAUUAGAUACCCGUGUAAU